UCCCUGGUAGUAUAUCGGUUAGUACACGCGCCUGUCAUCCGAGCAAGGAAUUCCAUGCGCGCGAAAGCUGGGUUCGACUCCCAGCCAGGGAG
Molecule: non-coding RNA, 92 nt
Organism: Stygiomarasmius scandens
Lineage: Eukaryota; Fungi; Basidiomycota; Agaricomycetes; Agaricales; Campanellaceae
Source: the annotation of a GenBank genome assembly